Molecule: ribosomal RNA, 828 nt
Filed under: uncultured marine organism
Description: SSU rRNA
Rfam family: Bacterial small subunit ribosomal RNA
Source: RNAcentral
GCAAGUCGAGGGGUAACGAUAGUGCUUGCACUAGUCGACGACCGGCGCACGGGUGCGUAACGCGUAUAGAACCUACCUUAUAGUAAAGGAUAGCCCAGAGAAAUUUGGAUUAAUACUUUAUGUUAUAUCAAUUUGGCAUCAAAUAGUUAUCAAAGAUUUAUUGCUAUAAGAUGGCUAUGCGUUCUAUUAGCUAGUUGGUAUGGUAACGGCAUACCAAGGCAACGAUAGAUAGGGGUCCUGAGAGGGAGAUCCCCCACACUGGUACUGAGACACGGACCAGACUCCUACGGGAGGCAGCAGUGAGGAAUAUUGGACAAUGGAGGGAACUCUGAUCCAGCCAUGCCGCGUGUAGGAAGACUGCCCUAUGGGUUGUAAACUACUUUUAUAGAGGAAGAAUCGAUUUUACGUGUAAAAUUUUGACGGUACUCUACGAAUAAGGAUCGGCUAACUCCGUGCCAGCAGCCGCGGUAAUACGGAGGAUCCAAGCGUUAUCCGGAAUCAUUGGGUUUAAAGGGUCCGUAGGCUGUUUUGUAAGUCAGUGGUGAAAGUUUUUGGCUCAACCAGAAAAUUGCCAUUGAUACUGCAAGGCUUGAAUAAUUGUGAAGUGGUUAGAAUAUGUAGUGUAGCGGUGAAAUGCAUAGAUAUUACAUAGAAUACCGAUUGCGAAGGCAGAUCACUAACAAUUGAUUGACGCUGAUGGACGAAAGCGUGGGUAGCGAACAGGAUUAGAUACCCUGGUAGUCCACGCCGUAAACGAUGGUUACUAGCUGUUUGGACGCAAGUUUAAGUGGCUAAGCGAAAGUGAUAAGUAACCCACCUGGGGAGUAC